CUUGGUUCAGGAUGAACGCUAGCGACAGGCCUAACACAUGCAAGUCGAGGGGCAGCACAAGGAGCAAUCUGAGGUGGCGACCGGCGCACGGGUGAGUAACACGUAUGCAACCUGCCUGUAAGCGGGGAAUAACCCGUUGAAAGACGGACUAAUACCGCAUAAUACUAAAUUACUGCAUGGUAAUUUAUUUAAACAUUUAUGGCUUACAGAUGGGCAUGCGCAUGAUUAGCUAGUUGGAGAGGUAACGGCUCCCCAAGGCAACGAUCAUUAGGGGUUCUGAGAGGAAGGUCCCCCACACUGGUACUGAGACACGGACCAGACUCCUACGGGAGGCAGCAGUGAGGAAUAUUGGUCAAUGGACGAGAGUCUGAACCAGCCAAGUCGCGUGCAGGAAGAAUGUCCCUAUGGAUUGUAAACUGCUUUUGCAGGGGAAUAAAGUGCAUCACGUGUGAUGUUUUGUAUGUACUCUGCGAAUAAGGAUCGGCUAACUCCGUGCCAGCCGCCGC
Molecule: ribosomal RNA, 506 nt
Filed under: uncultured bacterium
Lineage: Bacteria
Description: bacterial SSU rRNA
Rfam family: Bacterial small subunit ribosomal RNA
Source: RNAcentral